This 207-nucleotide ribosomal RNA is filed under the name Clostridioides difficile. RNAcentral's name for it is "partial 16S ribosomal RNA". It matches the Rfam family "Bacterial small subunit ribosomal RNA", at positions 232 to 438 of the family's 1533-position model. Lineage: Bacteria; Bacillati; Bacillota; Clostridia; Peptostreptococcales; Peptostreptococcaceae. The record is from RNAcentral.
CGCGUCUGAUUAGCUAGUUGGUAAGGUAACGGCUUACCAAGGCGACGAUCAGUAGCCGACCUGAGAGGGGGAUCGGCCACAUUGGAACUGAGACACGGUCCAAACUCCUACGGGAGGCAGCAGGGGGGAAUAUUGCACAAUGGGCGAAAGCCUGAUGCAGCAACGCCGCGUGAGUGAUGAAGGCCUUCGGGUCGUAAAACUCUGUCC